GUCACCAGCGAGGCUCAGUUCCUGCAGUUCACCUGAUGGCGUACACCUUCAAACAGAAUUAACAGGGAACUUCAACUCGACGCUCCCAAUGCUGAUCUUGAAGAAGCUGUCAAGGAGGCUGAACAAGUCCUUCACAGCUGAAAGGGAAGACCAAAGGAAGGCCUGUCAUGGGAUUUGAAUUUGACCAUCUUGUGCGUUUAUGGAGAAGACCAAAAGCUACAAAGGCAAACACUUCCAAUGGAUUUCUCACAGAUUACUUAGUCCUUCUCCAUCAGCUCUCAACAAUAUCAGCCCUUCCAAAAGCUUCCACAUCUCUUUCUCACGUGUGGCACAUCUGCUCUCAGUCCUUUACUGCCAACUUCCAGUCUUAGCAUGUCUACUUGUAUUAAUUUCUCCUCUACAGUCAUCACUCCCAUCUCUACUAGAAGCAUUCCUAUCACUAUAUAUUUCAUUUCAUAUUCUUGCUAAAAAUGGUUGACUUUAAUCAUUAUAAUUAACCAUUAAUUUGUCUUGCAUUUAGUCACAAUAGAAGCAAACAGUGAUUACAGGAGAUAUAUUU
Sinocyclocheilus grahami is the source of this 559-nucleotide long non-coding RNA. RefSeq lists it as uncharacterized. The record is from RefSeq and is a predicted model, not a curated record. Lineage: Eukaryota; Metazoa; Chordata; Actinopteri; Cypriniformes; Cyprinidae. The transcript has 4 exons.